Molecule: non-coding RNA, 6013 nt
Organism: Podarcis lilfordi (Lilford's wall lizard)
Lineage: Eukaryota; Metazoa; Chordata; Lepidosauria; Squamata; Lacertidae
Source: the annotation of a GenBank genome assembly
AAAGAGGGCAUAGCAGGCUGGAACCCUAGUCUGAACAGGAGCACUUCAUGCUGCAACAUUUAAAAAAAAAGUUCCAUUUAUAAUGCAUUUAAAUUUACUAGAUUUCACACAUUUUGGGGAGAAGAGAAUGGAAGAAUGUUAGUUUGGCUUCUGACUUGAAGUGAUUGUGGUUGCUUGAAGUGUUAGGGCAGGAGUGAAGAACCUUUCCACAUUCCCUUGGGAAUGUUAGAGAUGGUGUACUAGUGGGAAGCGUGAUGUGGUGCAAAAAUGAUUGACAUUUUUGCAGGACGGCCUAUCUCUCCACCCUACUCAGUUCCCUCCCCCCAUUUUUCUCCUCCGUUAAUAUAGCCUGAAACUGAUUGCUUGCCAAGGCUUCAACUCCUUCUGUUUGUUUCAACUCUGUCCAUUUACAUUUCCCCACUUCCCUCCCUCGUUCCCACUCUCUGGGUUGCCCUACCCAUUGCAAGGCCCCCCCAUGACUACCAUGUAGCAGCUACUUCUCUUUCUCCACUGCUCUUUUCUCUCUGUCAUGCACAUACACAAACAUGACAUGGAAGAGGAGUGGUCAGGAGAGCCAGGGUGGCUUUAGCACAUACACAGAGUCACAUACAGUCACCAAGCUGCUGAUUCCUUCCUUGCCACUGUGUUACGACAUUUCUGGCUUGUUAACCAUUUUGUUUGUAGAUUGCAUUAAUUUUUUCUUUCGUUCUGCUUGCUAAUAUUUUGACUGUGUUUUGAAAAAAAUUGUUGGGAACAUUUAUCUCUUGUGCUUUGUGAUGGUUUCAUCUUGUAAUAAUGUGACACCAUUGAAUGGCCUUUUAAAAUCUUCUACAACUGAUCAUUAGAUCAUUAGAUAUCAUUUUCAAUGCUUCCAUGCUUAAAUCAAAGUUGAAGGUUUGUUUUACUGAUAUUGAUUAUUCAACUGACUAGUUGAUAACUACUGAUUUAUAGUUUGUGGAGGAAUGAUUAAUUGAUUUGUUUAUAUCUGGUUCAGCUGGGAGAUGAUGAAAGGUAUAAAAACAAUACCUCCCAAUUUAGUUCAUUUUGCAACUAAAUUCAGUCAGAAAUCUGGAUCAAAACAUAUACAUGAGUCUAGUUCUAUUUUAACUCUUGAAAGAUAAAAUAUUUAUUUUGUCAGAUUAAUGGACUGGAAUAGCUUCAAAAUACUGAUAAACAAAUAGGAUAGAAAUGUAGCAGAGAAAAUAAAAAGUUAAGAAAUAAAAUUUAUUGGGGAAAAUAAUGCUAAUCAUGACAAAAUACAAGAAGAAAUGAAGGUUAAAGUGAAUGAAGGUUAGAAUGAAACAAGAACUGGUCAUUGAAGUUACAAGAUCGACUGGAAGAGUUAAAAAAUACAGUUAGAGUAAUUUUUGGAGAGAAUACCUGAAGGCUCAUUUGACAAACCAUGGUUCUCUUUCAUGGAAAUAUGAAUAUUGUCUUUCAUUCCUUUUAGGACUGAUACCAGAGCUGAGGCUCCUUUCUGUCAUAAAGCUAGAUAUUCUGGUUAAGAUAAAAGACUGCAUGAUACAUUGGUCAGAUUGCAUAAUGAUGUUUCAAGAAAAUCAAUGCAAUGUAUGGUUUGGGAGAACCUUUGAAAUGUUAUGUAACUCUCUUGUUCAAUUAUUAUCUAAUUCUUACGAUAUUCUCUAUAAGAAGAGUCAGUUAAAGCUUAUUACUUGAGUCUUACAAUGAAAAUCAAUUUGUGACAGGAGACAUUUCCCUUUUUAAGUUGAUUAUUUUUCCCAGAAUCACACUUUGCAUGUUUAAUCUUUAGCACAAGGAUAAAGAUUUUUGGUGCUGAUUUUUGCAAUAAGCAUCUAGCUUUCUAAAUCAGCUUGAUUCUGAAAGAAGAGAAUUUGAGGCAAAUAUAACUUCUUAAUUUGGGGUUGUCCUAGGAGCAAUGUUAAGAGGGGAGUUUCAAAGAAGGACAUUUGGUGAGAAGUCAUGAAGGUUUGGGGAUCAGUUUGUAAUGUAAGUGCCGGUAGUUGGCUUUGAACUGUGGAAUUAUAUAACAAUAUUUGGUCUGUACAUGUAAAUUGUGAUUAUAUCCUCUAGGUUCAGUUUGUAUUGAUUUUUGUAUUUUUUUAAUCAAAGGCUUGGAUCCCAAGUGUCCUUCCAUUUCUGAAAGGGCUUUCAAGGCAGUGGAAGUUCCUGUUGGUAGAAGGCAAUUUUGGCUACUUCCACCAUGCAGCCCCCACAUUCCAUCCCAACACAGUUGGGUCCGUCAACCCUCUAUAACAAAUAUUUAGAGGAUGGGUGGAUUUCAGCAGGGAGCGAAAAUCAGUGAAAACCAGCUCUUCCCCCCUUCCACCAAUAGAAGCAUCCCAUGACUGGAGUUUUGCUCGCUGCAACUCAGAAGUCAAUUCAAAAUAUUGAAAUUCCAUAGACAUAUAUAACAGAGAAUAAUGAGUGGGAAUAUACAAAUAUCAAAAUAAAAAUUAAGAUUUCCUAUCAUUCUGCAAAAAAAGAGGACUCACCUUAAAGUGAAUGUCAAUGCUGAUUUAAUUCAGUUAUCUAACACACAUUUAUACAAAUGUGGAUACAAAACAAGUUAAUUAGAAAAGGAGUAUAUAAAAAAGGAGAACUGUGCAAUAAGGUAAUUAGUAUGCAUCGUCAUAUCUGUUCAAAUGAUACUGGCAACAAAUAUAAGACUAAUUUCCCUAACAUGUCAGUAAUAUAAAAUACGUGAAGUAUCCAUAGAGCAACAUUAACUGUUUUGAUGACAUACUGUACUGGUAAUAAUGGCUUCAACAUAGAACUGUUCUGUAUUGGAGUAGAUGACCUCCAAGGUUCCUUUCAACGCUAUAAUUAUAUGAUUCCAUAAGUGGUUAAUUGUAUGGUUUAUACCUGGGUUUGGUAAUAUAAUUUACAUACAAAAAUAUGUGCUAAACAGACCCUUUAAGAAUUUAAAGUCUAUUCUGUGUUAGAAAGUACCUGAAUGUGUAUGUGUGUCUGUGUACAUUUGUGUUUGUGUGUGUAUCACUGUUACCUUGAGACAGUAUGCCAAGGUCAACUCCUUAUUCUUUGAUUAUGGACUGGUAAUCAAGUUAAAAUCUGCAGUGCCUUGUUUUCACUGUGUUUUGUCCUCAUAAUAUAAACAUGCUUACAUUCCUCUAAUAUUUGAUUUUUCUAAGCAUUUGACCACUUAUCCAAUACAUUGUGUGGGUUUUUUUGAAAGGCUGUUUGUAAAGCAUUUUCAAUACUGCAGUUUGUCUCAAAAUAACUACAGGUAAAGUGAUCUGCUGAAGUUUAAAAAAGAAUUAAAAAUGCAUCAUGUAUCCAGCAGACUGGAACGUUUUAUAAUGUAUCAUGUCAAAAUAUAAUUAGGAUGAGUGUAAAUUGAAUAUUGCAGGUAUUAAGAAAAGUAAUGGAAGGAUCUGAAGGCUUUCUUACAUUUGCAGAGAAGCAGGUCCUCACAUUUAUUUUUGUGUGAUGUAUGAAUUCUCUCUCAGAGGCAGGUCAGCCUACAAGCACAUGGGAAAUCCUCCUUCCCCUGGUGACUGAAGGCAAGACCAGCCAGGAAACAAAGGAGAUGAACUUUCCUCUUGUCUUCUACUUGUACACAGAUAGCAAAACCAAUCUUAAACUUACAUUCAGUCAAGAAAGGGAGGAAGCUAGCUGGCUAGGUUUUGUCCCCCUCCCCCAUGUUCUCCAUUCUCCUUUAGUUUAGAUGGAUCAAAUAAUAUUUAUAGUAAAGAAAAUCAAGGAAUGCAGGCCACUUCAUAAGUUAUGUGUGUAGUUUGUACACCUUAUGCUAGCGACCUUGGUCCAUAAGAAAAAUCAAAGCAUAUUAGGGCAAUAUUUUUAUUAGGCCAACCAGAAAAUCACAAAAGUAUGCAGGCUUGAAAGGUGAGACAAAUGUGCUUUUAAAGACACACACACACACACACACUGAUAUAAAACGAUGUGCUCAUACAAUUGAAUUCUAUGGGGGGAAAUAACGGUUUUCAACUGGAAAGACUGCCGAGAGGAUCAUAACUUGCUCUACUUGCUCUCCCAGGCAAAAACAGUAUUUAGGGAGAACAUUCUUUUAUUUACUAACUUGGUUUUUUUUUUAAUGGCUGCCAUUCAUUCCUAUAGGGGGAAGAAAAAAAAACUGCACUUUGGAACGCUGCUGUAAACUACCCCACACCCCUGAAAUUAGAUGGCUCAACUAAGAGGGAUCCAUAGAAGUGGUGCAAUGUUCAUCUAUGUGAAUUCACUGCGCUACUCUUGAGUUGCUGUGAUAUGGGAAUCUGUUUCUGCAUUGCCUGUUACAUUGACGGGCAUUUUUUGCCAGUCUAGAAUAAACAUGAAUACACCCUAGUUUUCCAUUCAGCAUAGAUUAGAACCCCCAACAUUAUAGUUCUGGGGGAAUAUUACCAAGAUCAUAUAAACAGAGAUUAAUUACACAUUAACACUCCUUUACUUAACAUUUUAUUUUCAAAUGUUAUUGGGUAAUGAAUGAUAAGGAAAAGAAUGCCCUUACUAGUCUUUCAUUGCACCUUUAUGAAGCCUUCUUAUUAUUUAAUAUUUAUAUGUAUUUGGGUUUUUUUAAAAAUAGAAGUGUUCACUUUUCUGCCAUUUAAAGUGCAGCAGGAGAAACAUGUUUUAUUACGUUUGAGUCACCAGGCUUAGGGGAAACCCAAGGUUUACCAAACAACAACAAGAUUUAUUUUUUUAAGGGAAAUAAUCCUGAAAGGCAUGGGAAGAACCACGAAACAGCUUAAUGAAGAUUGAUCAUGUUUUGUGGACACAGACUACUGCCUACAUUGGGAGAGGGAAAAUAGGAAGUGUGUAGGGUGGAAUUGGAAAGGGCAUGGCUGGCUGGCAUCUUGAACAGGAGCACCCCACACUGCAACAUUUUGUUUUAAGUCUCACCAGCAGGACCUAAAGUCUCUCCCUAUCUCUCUCCUCGGUUUAUAUACCCCCGUUAAAAGAAUUCUCAGCCACAUAACUGAAUAAUGUAUUCCCCAUUAAUGUUAUAGUUAGCAGUGCUUAAGGUUCCUCUGUGCUGUAAUCAGGCAUUCCCAACAGCAGCUUGAUGUCAGAUAGUAAACAUCCUAUUACAGAAAGCAGCAACUUAGGCCUGCAGUGAAUUUUCUGCUUUUUCUAAAAACAGGAACUAUAAUCCUAGAACAUUUCAAAAAACGAAAGAAUUUAAUUUCUCUCUUUCCCACCCCUUUUAAAGUUUAUUAUGGUUUAAGAUCUCAGAAUCCAAAUUUGAUGAACAUGGUGACAUUCCCAGUUUUAGAGCUGGCACUAUCAGGCAGCUACUGGACAUUCCAGUUGGCUGGUUGAAUCGGCUGGCAUGGGUGGGGUUGGGGGUAUAACCAAUUUGUCACAGAUCCCAACAUGUUGUCACUCUUCCUAAUUAAGUUAAUAAAACCUGCAAAUUAACUGAGGCUGUCUAGUUUGUUUUUCAGCCCAGAACAAAUCCCACUGCCCUGCUUUAACAUGUAUUUCCCCCCCUUCUUUGUUGUUCUCCUUUACCCUUACAAUUUGGUAACAUUUAUUAUGAUAUACACAACAGAGUUGCACCACUAAAUGCUCUUACUGUACUGGUGCCCACAGGGAAUUAUGCAAAGACUUGCAACCACCUGAUAUAAUUCAGAAGUUGAGUUUUAAGAAGUAUUCGUCUUGGGUUGUACUUUUCAGGAUUCAAUAGUCACAAAAUUGGCUGGCUCCAGCUUUCAUAUGACUUUGGCAAGGCAGUCUUUGUCUUAUAUAACUGGGUCCCUGGCUACUAUUAAAAACUUCCCUCAGUGCUCUGGAGAGAUCCUGUGCCAUGUGCUCCAUAGUACUGUGAGAAAUUUAAAAUGGCAGGCAGCUGCUAUACCCCCUAACUAGUGGUGCAGACUCAAGGUCAGCAUCAGCAAUGGGACCUGUUGGGGUGCUUGAGACCCGGGAGCAGCUGAAGGAUGACUGGUGCUGAAGUUGGCACUGACCACAAUCAGAAGUGUUGGAUUUGUCUUGAUUAUCUGCCAACUUUUCCCUUUUCUUGCGAGGAAUUCUAUUCAGAAUAAGGGAAUUUCCC